AUUGAACGCUGGCGGCAUGCCUUACACAUGCAAGUCGAACGGUAACAGGUCUUCGGAUGCUGACGAGUGGUGAACGGGUGAGUAAUACAUCGGAACGUGCCUAGUAGUGGGGGAUAACUACUCGAAAGAGUGGCUAAUACCGCAUGAGAUCUACGGAUGAAAGCAGGGGAUCGCAAGACCUUGUGCUACUAGAGCGGCCGAUGGCAGAUUAGGUAGUUGGUGGGAUAAAAGCUUACCAAGCCGACGAUCUGUAGUUGGUCUGAGAGGACGAUCAGCCACACUGGGACUGAGACACGGCCCAGACUCCUACGGGAGGCAGCAGUGGGGGAUUUUGGACAAUGGGCGCAAGCCUGAUCCAGCAAUGCCGCGUGCAGGAUGAAGGCCUUCGGGUUGUAAACUGCUUUUGUACGGAACGAAAAGCCCUGGGUUAAUACCCUGGGGUCAUGACGGUACCGUAAGAAUAAGCACCGGCUAACUACGUGCCAGCCGCCGCAGUAA
This 498-nucleotide ribosomal RNA is filed under the name uncultured bacterium. Its description in RNAcentral is "partial 16S ribosomal RNA". It matches the Rfam family "Bacterial small subunit ribosomal RNA", at positions 30 to 523 of the family's 1533-position model. The record is from RNAcentral.